RNAcentral lists this ribosomal RNA (446 nucleotides) under uncultured bacterium. RNAcentral describes it as "partial 16S ribosomal RNA". It matches the Rfam family "Bacterial small subunit ribosomal RNA", at positions 338 to 795 of the family's 1533-position model. The record is from RNAcentral.
CCUACGGGAGGCAGCAGUCGAGAAUCAUUCACAAUGGGGGAAACCCUGAUGGUGCGACGCCGCGUGGGGGAAUGAAGGUCUUCGGAUUGUAAACCCCUGUCAUGUGGGAGCAAAUUAAAAAGAUAGUACCACAAGAGGAAGAGACGGCUAACUCUGUGCCAGCAGCCGCGGUAAUACAGAGGUCUCAAGCGUUGUUCGGAAUCACUGGGCGUAAAGCGUGCGUAGGCUGUUGCGUAAGUCGUGUGUGAAUGGCGCGGGCUCAACCCGCGGACGGCACAUGAUACUGCGAGACUAGAGUAAUGGAGGGGGAACCGGAAUUCUCGGUGUAGCAGUGAAAUGCGGAGAUAUCGAGAGGAACACUCGUGGCGAAGGCGGGUUCCUGGACAUUAACUGACGCUGAGGCACGAAGGCCAGGGGAGCGAAAGGGAUUAGAUACCCCUGUAGUC